ACUGGCAACAGAAGCGGCACGGCAAACCCCACCGGGAGCAAGACCGAAUAGGGGCGGUGCGAAGGGAAACCUUCGAGGGCUGUUUCCGGCCCACCGCCCGGGUAGGUUGCGUGAGGCGCAUGGCGACAUGCGCCCAAGAUGAAUGGCCGCCACGUUCCCGCGCCGCAAGGCGUGGGGGCCAUACAGAACCCGGCUUACAGGCCAGCUGGCAUU
This 213-nucleotide RNase P RNA is filed under the name Mesorhizobium sp. RNAcentral's name for it is "partial RNase P RNA component class A". It matches the Rfam family "Bacterial RNase P class A", at positions 185 to 367 of the family's 367-position model. From Rfam's summary of the family: Ribonuclease P (RNase P) is a ubiquitous endoribonuclease, found in archaea, bacteria and eukarya as well as chloroplasts and mitochondria. Its best characterised activity is the generation of mature 5'-ends of tRNAs by cleaving the 5'-leader elements of precursor-tRNAs. Lineage: Bacteria; Pseudomonadati; Pseudomonadota; Alphaproteobacteria; Hyphomicrobiales; Phyllobacteriaceae. The record is from RNAcentral.